This is an RNA transcript of Schistocerca cancellata (South American locust), 5452 nucleotides long. It is a transcript of the gene named protein ROP, with no coding region annotated. NCBI's taxonomy places the organism in Eukaryota, Metazoa, Arthropoda, Insecta, Orthoptera, Acrididae. The transcript is spliced from 13 exons. The record is from RefSeq and is a predicted model, not a curated record.
CUGGAGCCAGCCCUGCUGUAGGUACGGGAAGGGGCGUUUGACGUUUCGAUUGAGUGUAGCAAAAUGGCGCUGAAAGCCGUGGUUGGACAAAAAAUUAUGAAUGAAGUCAUUCGUAACAAGAAAAAGGGACAAGGUAUUGAGUGGCGAGUUCUAGUUGUUGAUCAGCUUGCCAUGAGGAUGGUGUCAGCAUGCUGUAAAAUGCAUGAAAUAUCUGCUGAAGGUAUCACAAUUGUGGAGGAUAUAAAUAAAAAGAGAGAACCUCUGUCUACAAUGGAGGCCGUGUACUUGAUCACACCAAGUGAAAAAUCUGUACACGCAUUAAUGCAGGACUUCGCCAGUCCUAAUCGCACCAUGUAUCGUGCUGCCCAUGUGUAUUUCACUGAAGCAUGCCCAGAGGAGCUGUUUAACAAAUUGUGUCGUGCAACUGUUGCGAAGUUCAUAAAAACUUUGAAGGAAAUUAAUAUUGCAUUUGUAGCAUACGAGGAACAGGUAUUUUCUCUGGAUUCACCUGAUACAUUUCAAUGCUUCUACAAUCCCUCAUGUGCUGGUGGUCGAAAUGCAAACAUGGAACGUAUUGCUGAACAAAUAGCAACCUUGUGUGCUACUCUUGGAGAGUACCCGUCAGUCAGAUAUCGAUGUGAUUUUGACAAGAAUGUUGAAUUAGCCCAACUAGUUCAACAGAAAUUAGAUGCAUAUAAGGCAGAUGAACCUACAAUGGGUGAAGGACCAGAAAAAGCUCGUUCCCAGCUUUUGAUUUUGGAUAGAGGAUUCGACUGUGUCUCACCAUUACUUCAUGAACUAACACUGCAAGCAAUGGCAUAUGAUUUACUACCAAUAGAAAAUGAUGUCUACAAGUAUGAAGCAACAGCAGGGGCACCAGAAAAAGAGGUGCUGCUGGAUGAAAAUGAUGAAUUGUGGGUUGAGCUCAGACAUCAACACAUUGCUGUUGUUUCACAGAAUGUUACAAAGAAUCUCAAGAAGUUCAUUGAUUCCAAACGAAUGCCACAGGGUGAUAAGCAGUCAAUGAGGGACCUAUCACAGAUGAUAAAGAAGAUGCCACAAUACCAGAAAGAGUUAAGCAAGUACUCAACACAUCUUCACUUGGCUGAAGACUGUAUGAAAGCUUAUCAAGGCUAUGUAGACAAACUGUGCAAAGUAGAACAGGAUCUUGCAAUGGGCACUGAUGCAGAAGGAGAGAGGAUAAAAGAUCACAUGCGAAAUAUAGUGCCUGUGCUUCUUGAUCAAGGUGUGACGAAUUAUGAUAAAAUGCGUAUUAUUCUGCUUUAUAUAAUAUCAAAGAAUGGCAUAAGUGAAGAGAACCUUAACAAACUUGUCCAACAUGCUCAAAUUAAUCCAUCUGAAAAGCAGACCAUUAUUAAUAUGGCCAACUUGGGUGUUAAUGUUGUUGUUGAUGGGACACGCAAGAAAUUCUACCAGGUUCCCCGGAAAGAACGUAUUACUGAACAAACAUACCAAAUGUCACGUUGGACACCAGUCAUCAAGGACAUAAUGGAAGAAUGUAUUGAAGAUAAAUUGGAUCCAAAACAUUUUCCAUUUUUGGCAGGAAGAGCUGCUCCAUCUGGCUACCAUCCACCAACAAGUGCAAGGUAUGGCCAUUGGCAUAAAGAUAAAGGUCAACAAGCUGUAAAGAAUGUUCCUCGUCUAAUUGUCUUCAUUGUUGGUGGUGUGUGCUUCUCAGAAAUACGCUGUGCUUAUGAAGUAACCAACACUGUAAAGAACUGGGAAGUCAUUAUUGGCUCUUCUCACAUUAUGACGCCAGAGGACUUCCUCAGUAAUCUUACGAAUUUGAGCUAAUCUGUUAGCACAGUAUAUCUAGCCUGCCCAAAAAGGUUAGCAUGUGUGUUUCUGCCGAAAUAGGAACUUUAUGUUGAUGGGGUGAAAAGUCACCAGAUCUAUCAAUAUUAUGUGAAAGAUAAAUGUAAUUCCAGUGUUAGGAUUUGUACUCAAGUCUGUAUUGUAGUCAGUUGCCUUAAAACAAGAGCUCUGUAGCUCUUGUUGCAUUUAUCAUAUUAAAGUAUUUUUUAAGAUAGCAUACAAGUUUGUAAAAAAUUCUUGUAAUUCAUAAUUUGUGUGUGUGUGUAAAAUAUUUAGAUAACAUAAUUAUGCCAUAUACUGGCUCAUUAAUGAAAGGAAAGAAAGCUUAUAGAUAUACCAGUAUGAAUUACUUGGAUUGUAAGAUUGCUAGAAAAAAUGCCUUCAAGCAAAAUGUAGGAACUUUCAGACUUAUUUAAGUGUCCUUUUGUGCAGAGGCAGUUAAUGAAUAGUAGAGUUUGUCUUCUGCAAAGCAAAUGUCCCUUUAACCUCUCUGGUCUUUUGGGCAUUCUGACUAUAUUAACUAAAAAGCAGAAUGUGAUAACUUCCAUCUUGCUGUCAUUUUAAUGUAUGCAUUCUUAAUAAUGUAAUGUGUUUCUGAAAACACUUUCAAUAAGAUGAUCUGUAUGUUGUUUGAGAAUGACAUAGUCAACUUAAAUUGUUCCUUUACCAGAGGACCAAACUGUGUUAAAGAGAGACGUUCAAAAUCUUCCAUUUUCAAUAAACACCAUAGUUUUAAUAAUAGUUUUUCAAAGUUAUACUAUUUAAAGAGUGGAUUCUUUGCACAGCAAUAACUACUUAUAAGACUAAGAGGAUAAGCCUGUGUUGCUUCACUAGUACAAUAAUUGUAAGUAGAUUAUUAUUCAAACAUUUUAAAUUGCAGAUUCAUGUAAAAGCACAUUUUGUAGCUAGAUCUUCAUUUCUGUAUUGAUUAUUUCUGUCUUCAUGAGACUGCAUUUUCCUGAAGUGUCAAAUUUUUUGAGAAGCAAUGUCACAAAUCUUUCUGCCUUAUAUGUAAGCUUGUUAAUUCAUAACUGUUAUUCGAUAUAGUGUUCAGUAAAACUUGGAUGUGCUCCAGAAUCUGUAAAUUAACUGUUUCCAUAAUAGUCUUUAGUGUUGUUGUAAUACCCAUUUUUUGACAUCGAAUAUUUUUAUCUAACUUCUUAAAAAUUUGUCUUACAACUACAGAGACAUUAUUUUUUAUUAAUAUUUCAUCAUGAUUUAUUUGGACAGUAAAAUAUGUUAAUAACUUUAUAAGCAAUACUGUGAUAGUGUAUGUUUGUGUUGAAAUGUUUGAGUUAGUGGGAAAUAAUAAACGAUGUUAUGCUUCUGCCUGUUUGGGAAUAUGUUGUCAGUCUCAUAUUUUGCAGGCAGACUUAAGUGCUGUAGUUACCUGAUUGACAGUUUAUUAGGCACACAAUUUUAUGUGAAACUUUUGUAAAUCUUCAAUAAGAAAAGGAAUAUGAAAGUUCUUCUUAAACACCAAUAUAUACUAGAGAAUUGGCUAAGCAUCAAGCAGUGGUAUUAUUGCUUGCCAUAUAAUUUAGGCAGUUGCCAUAUAAAUAAAAUUUGUGGAAUACCAUAGUAUGUACUUACAUACACAAGUACUGUAUUUUUAUUGAAACAAAAAGUGAACAGGUAUGUAAAAUGAGCUCCAGCUGGAAUGCUGGUUAUUGAUCUUUAUUUUUAAAAAAUUCUGGAUUGCUAUUUGGAAGUGCUGUCCCCCAUGUGUGGUUCUUGCACACUGCUAGACAAGAUUGAUUUAACAAACCUUUGUACCGUAUGAAAACUAAGAAGGCUACUUAAAGAAACAUUAAACUAAAAUUUGAGAUAACCUGAAGUAAGUCUGGGAAUUAGUGUUUAAGCUAUCCCUGUAGUCCCCCCCCCCUCCCUCCAUCACCAGAAAAAAAAGAAAAGGGGAAAAAAAAUUACUGCCUAAACUUUCCUUCUUCCCCAUCUGCACUACAGUGUAUGUGUGAGCGUGCGCAUGCAUGCAUGCAUGCACGCAUGCAUGCACAUGCAUUUGAGAUCAUCUGUAAAGAAGUACAGCAUAUUUAAAGUGGGGCAUUGGGUAGUGCCAAGUCAGUAGGCUUUAGUAUGGAAGAAGGGCAUUUAAAUCUAUGACAUUGCUAUAUUUUUAGUGCAUUCGGGGAGUAUUCCUUUUAAUUGCAAGUUAUAAUUUAUUUAAAAAGCUGUAUUUGAAAACAUUUGCUUAGAGCUAGUUGAAUAGACAUGUAAUUGACUUUAUCAACAAUAAAGUCAUGUUAAUAACUAUAUAAUUUAUACCUACACAUUCCAGUUAAAAACAUUGAAAAAAAUAUGUAUGUAGUAUAGUUUAAUGAGAGAUUAUUUUCUAUUUAUGGUUGUUUCACCAAGCACUGUUUUAAGUUGCCAUUAAAUUAUUGGUGGAUGAAAAGUUUUAUUUACUUCAAAAGUUUUUUCAGUAGUGUUAGUUUUAAAUAUAUUUAUUUAUUUUUACAAGUUAGCAGAUAAAUUAAUAAAAGACACAGUUAAAGUGGUUGUUAAAUUUCCAUGUAUUUCACAUCUUGAAUCCUCUUUCAUGUUUGUAAUGUCUGGAUGCAUAAAAAUUUCUCAUCUUGACCAUGUUUCUGACAAAUCUGCCAAUCGUGGGUCUUAAGGGUAUGCCAUGUUCUCAUUCAAUUUGUGGUGAGUAUGAAUAUAUGAAGAGGAAGCGUGCACGAGCCACACCUUUUCAGUUGAAGGCAAUUUUGGAAGAAAAAGACAUUAUUGUUACCAAAUGACAUACAUCACAGUAGGAGUUGAAACGUACAGUGCAAUGCUAUCCCAUUAUAUUAUAUCGUUGUUGUUGUUGAUGUUGUUAUUGUUGCUGAUGUUGUUAUUGUUGGUAAUUUAGACCAAAUCUCCUUAAGUGUUUAACUGAUGUGGCCUGUCAAAGAAGAAAUGUUGAUUUUCCUAUUAAUUAAUUAUUUUUGUUAAUGUAUUGAACAGAUUUUGCAAAAGAAAUGAAAUGUUACAAAACUGACCCAGCAUAAUUUUCUCAGACAUUUUGUUGCCUUGUGUUGUUAGUGCGAUAGUAAUGUUACAAUGUAUGUAUUUUCCUUAAUGUAUUAUAAAGCAUUGUAGACUAUAGAUAAUAUAGUAAUGUUGACAUAUUGAUAUAUAUAGCUUCUUCAGAUAGAGCAAAUUCAUAUUUUCAUAUUUGCUUUCAUGUGACCAAACACACACUUCUCAUUAUCAUGAGAGUUUUAAUGCAAACUAACAAUUGUUAAUGUGUAAGAAAUACAUUGAAACUUAGAAAUACGGGUCAUUUGGAACUAGUGAGCACAUAGUGUAAAUUCAAUAAAUUUUUAAUGCAUUUUUAUAACAUUUUCUUGUACUGUUGCUGUGUUCGAUUUUUACAUAAAUAUUGCCUAGUACAAAUUUGAUUUCAAAAAAGUGUCUUAAGAUUUUAAAAGAUUGGAAAGGUGGAAGACAUGAUUAGUUUCAUUUUUACAUAGUUAUGAAUGUCAUUUUUGUCUUUUUCUAUCUAAUACAUUUCAUUGAUGCUGUUUUGUUGAAUGCAGCCUUUGUAAGUGAUGCAAAGGAUUCCUUACCUAACACACUUGAUCUUUCUGCAUGUAACAGCAUUCAUCUCUUU